UCAAAUUUUGAAAAAGCUUUAUGAAAACAAAAAUACAUUUUGGACAUUUGUUUAAUAUAUGGUUGUUUCUUCGACAAUUUAAAUUCAUUUAUAUUUUACAGAGAAAAAAACGGUAAAUAUCAGUUAUGGCAUGGUAUUUUGUUUUGGCAAUAUACAUUAAUUAUGUUCUAACAGGGAACAAGAGUCGACAAAAAAAGGUUAUAGUUUGUGUGAAGUUUAUAAUUAGGAAUCUAGUAUAAAAUCGGGAGAUUUUCAUCAUUAUUUGUUCUGUUAUUACCAAAGGAGAGAAGAACGGAUUUAUGAUUGCUUAAAUCUGACUUUUGUGAAUGGUUUAUAUGUGAUGGGUAUAUGUGAUAUUCGAAGUUUUGCUGUGAAUUCCAAUUCGUUAGUGAGACAUUUUUUUGCUGGAACAACAUAAAAUUUGUCGUGAAGAUGAUGAGAAAGUAAUUACCUUCUGGCGUCUUAAAAGGGUUAGAAACCCGCGUGUUCAUCGUACAUUGUAGAAUUUGAAUGUGCUUCUGAAUGCAUCAUGGAUCAGCUUUGAUCCCGUUGGAAAGGUGUCCAGUUUUGGAUCAGCUGACUCGCACUUUACUCAUUUUCUUGUAAAGUCCGCAACUGCAUCCAUUCGCAACCUGAAAUUUUUCUUUUGGUUGAUGGGCUAAGAAAUUCUGUAUUUUUGAUCUUUGGAUUACAACUCUCUUAGUAAUUAAACAAUGCCAAUGUCUCCUGUGCAUGUCACAUAAGAUAAUUAUUUUAUAUUUGGACGGACGUAAUCAUGAGGAAUAAAAAAGGCAAACAAGUUCAUAAAACACUUAACCAAAAAUCAAGUCUAAGCCAAGAGAAACCAACAAAAAACUGUGGUGAGCUCGGUAGCCCUUGAAAGGUACGCAGAUCCUGUUCAACCAGUGGCACCUGUCGUGAUACUGUUUGGUGAUGUUACAAUCGAGGAAAAGAGGACGGGAUUGUGGUUAAAAGUAUGCUAUACAAAAUCACCACAGUAAGAUAAAAUGUAAGGCUACAUCAAACGUACUUACCUGUACAACGGUAUCGAGGAACCAUUGUAUUACAGUCAGUGUAACGUAAAAAUUAACAACACGAAUGAUGACCGAUCUAUAAGUUACUGAUUAAAAUGUAACCAACCGGUACAGAAAAUAAUGUAUAAUCACAUUAACGGUAAGUGGUGCACAAGGCCAACAUAUAUAACAAUCCAAAGUAUAACACAAACGUCGAAGAGCUGAUUAAACCAACAACGACUAACAGUAAAGCCGAACCCGGACAAAGAAUAAAAAAGAGCUCUGCAUGAGAGAAAUAUUUCCUUAAUUCUAAUUGAUUUCGGGAUUUAAUAACAUUAAAUUCAGCAAAUAUUACAAUAUCUGUAUUUUCAAAAGGUACAGAACCACUGUCUACUUGGCUGAAGAUAUCAUAAGAGACCAACAGUCCACCAGCAGACGUAUUGACCUAGUGGUAGUUAUAACAUUAACAAUACCAAUGUUAUUGCACCAGAUGCGCAUUUUAACAAUUAAUGUCUUUUCAUUUUUGUUCAAGCCCAACACAAACGUUGAAGAGCUGAUGUAAGUUGUAUUGCAAUUCAAAACUUUAAGAUCAACAUUUUAAAGAAUUAUUCACAAUGCCGUUAUUUUUGCUGAUCAAUGGCUAAACAAUGUACAAGCAAAAUUAAGUGACUUGUGAGUUUUAUUUCAACGUAAAAAAACAAAUAAACGCAAACGCAAAUAAACAUACUAUACCAGUUUUUAAUAUGCAAUUUGAGAAAAACUUAGGAAAUGGUGUAAAAAAUUGACCGAAAAUAAUUGACUGAGUUGGAACGACAUAUUUUUCAGCGCUUUUAUGAACAGGUAUUUCCGACUGACCACCAGAAAAUAUGUUAUGCUGCAUUUUCAAACUUUAAAUGAGAAAAAUAGUUAAGCCUGCAUUGGAGGUUGUAGCUUAUAUAUUUUUUUUAAACGACAGAUCCCUCGAUUGAACGACAACAAUAUGUAAACAAGAAUUUAAAAAAAAAAUUUUGUAAACCUAUUUUAGCAAA
Molecule: long non-coding RNA, 2041 nt
Organism: Mytilus californianus (California mussel)
Lineage: Eukaryota; Metazoa; Mollusca; Bivalvia; Mytilida; Mytilidae
Exons: 4
Source: RefSeq, a predicted model, not a curated record